GGUCCCAAAGUCAUGGUUAAGUGGGAAACGAUGUGGGAAGGCCCAGACAGCCAGGAUGUUGGCUUAGAAGCAGCCAUCAUUUAAAGAAAGCGUAAUAGCUCACUGGUCGAGUCGGCCUGCGCGGAAGAUGUAACGGGGCUAAACCAUGCACCGAAGCUGCGGCAGCGACGCUGAUGCGUUGUUGGGUAGGGGAGCGUUCUGUAAGCCUGCGAAGGUGGCCUGUGAGGGUUGCUGGAGGUAUCAGAAGUGCGAAUGCUGACAUAAGUAACGAUAAAGCGGGUGAAAAGCCCGCUCGCCGGAAGACCAAGGGUUCCUGUCCAACGUUAAUCGGGGCAGGGUGAGUCGACCCCUAAGGCGAGGCCGAAAGGCGUAGUCGAUGGGAAACGGGUUAAUAUUCCCGUACUUGGUGUUACUGCGAAGGGGGGACGGAGAAGGCUAUGUUGGCCGGGCGACGGUU
Molecule: ribosomal RNA, 457 nt
Filed under: Salmonella enterica
Lineage: Bacteria; Pseudomonadati; Pseudomonadota; Gammaproteobacteria; Enterobacterales; Enterobacteriaceae
Description: partial 23S ribosomal RNA
Rfam family: Bacterial large subunit ribosomal RNA
Source: RNAcentral